GGACGAACGCUGGCGGCGUGCCUAAUACAUGCAAGUCGAACGCUUCUUUCCUCCCGAGUGCUUGCACUCAAUUGGAAGGAGGAGUGGCGGACGGGUGAGUAACACGUGGGUAACCUACCCAUCAGAGGGGGAUAACACUUGGAAACAGGUGCUAAUACCGCAUAACAGUUUAUGCCGCAUGGCAUAAGAGUGAAAGGCGCUUUCGGGUGUCGCUGAUGGAUGGACCCGCGGUGCAUUAGCUAGUUGGUGAGGUAACGGCUCACCAAGGCAACGAUGCAUAGCCGACCUGGGGGGGUGAUCGGCCACACUGGGACGGAGACACGGCCCAGACUCCUACGGGAGGCAGCAGUAGGGAAUCUUCGGCAAUGGACGAAAGUCUGACCGAGCAACGCCGCGUGAGUGAAGAAGGUUUUCGGAUCGUAAAACUCUGUUGUUAGAGAAGAACAAGGACGUUAGUAACUGAACGUCCCCUGACGGUAUCUAACCAGAAAGCCACGGCUAACUACGUG
RNAcentral lists this ribosomal RNA (509 nucleotides) under uncultured bacterium. RNAcentral's name for it is "partial 16S ribosomal RNA". It matches the Rfam family "Bacterial small subunit ribosomal RNA", at positions 27 to 507 of the family's 1533-position model. The record is from RNAcentral.